AACGAACGCUGGCGGCAUGCCUAACACAUGCAAGUCGAACGAGACCUUCGGGUCUAGUGGCGCACGGGUGCGUAACGCGUGGGAACCUGCCCUUAGGUUCGGAAUAACUCCCCGAAAGGGGUGCUAAUACCGGAUAAUGUCUUCGGACCAAAGAUUUAUCGCCUUUGGAUGGGCCCGCGUUGGAUUAGCUCGUUGGUAGGGUAAAAGCCUACCAAGGCGACGAUCCAUAGCUGGUCUGAGAGGAUGAUCAGCCACACUGGGACUGAGACACGGCCCAGACUCCUACGGGAGGCAGCAGUGGGGAAUAUUGGACAAUGGGCGAAGGCAUGAUGCAGCUAUGCCGCGUGAGUGAUGAAGGCCGUAGGGUUGUAAAGCUCUUUUACCCGGGAUGAUAAUGACAGUACCGGGAGAAUAAGCUCCGGCUAACUCCGUG
RNAcentral lists this ribosomal RNA (433 nucleotides) under uncultured bacterium. RNAcentral describes it as "partial 16S ribosomal RNA". It matches the Rfam family "Bacterial small subunit ribosomal RNA", at positions 29 to 507 of the family's 1533-position model. The record is from RNAcentral.